GUCGCGAAUGGUAUAGGUUGUUUUCAGUCGACGUUGACAGUAACCGGCGAUAUCAAGUAUUUGAAAUAAUCAUUUAAAUGAGAGAAAUCGAGAGGAAAAUACAAUAAUUUGAUACGUGUGUGUCAUCUUUCAGAGGAAGCGAGACUUAAUAACAGUGCGGUUCCACGUUUAAUCCAAAAAUCUGGUCCAUCAGGCCCAGCUUUCAGAUCUACAGCUACAACAAAAGCCGGUCUUCCCUGAUCACCACAUCUUUGAGGAUAAUAAUAACAGGGACAGUUGUAUAAUCCUGACAGAGAAAAAAAAUUCUUUCCCGUUCCGGCUGGUCCCUUUGGACUUCCACCACGGUGAAGGUGCAGGGCAGUGGUCAAAGUAAUGUAGCAACUGUAGGCGAUGGUAAGAAAAUAUUGGUUCGACGAUUUGAAAUUUUU
Molecule: long non-coding RNA, 428 nt
Organism: Athalia rosae (coleseed sawfly)
Lineage: Eukaryota; Metazoa; Arthropoda; Insecta; Hymenoptera; Athaliidae
Exons: 3
Source: RefSeq, a predicted model, not a curated record